This 253-nucleotide ribosomal RNA is filed under the name uncultured bacterium. Its description in RNAcentral is "partial 16S ribosomal RNA". It matches the Rfam family "Bacterial small subunit ribosomal RNA", at positions 524 to 776 of the family's 1533-position model. The record is from RNAcentral.
UACGUAGGGGGCAAGCGUUGUCCGGAUUCAUUGGGCGUAAAGCGCGUGUAGGCGGCCAGGUAGGUCCGACGUGAAAACUGGAGGCUCAACCUCCAGCUGUCGUUGGAAACCAUCUGGCUAGGGUCCGGAAGAGGAGAGUGGAAUUCCUAGUGUAGAGGUGAAAUUCGUAGAUAUUAGGAAGAACACCAGUGGCGAAGGCGGCUCACUGGUCCGGUACUGACGCUGAGGUGCGAAAGCGUGGGGAGCAAACAGG